RNAcentral lists this ribosomal RNA (1213 nucleotides) under uncultured bacterium. Its description in RNAcentral is "bacterial SSU rRNA". It matches the Rfam family "Bacterial small subunit ribosomal RNA", at positions 173 to 1387 of the family's 1533-position model. The record is from RNAcentral.
AUGAAGCAGGGGCCCCGCAUGGGGAUAUUUGCUAAAGAUUCAUCGCUGAUAGAUAGGCAUGCGUUCCAUUAGGCAGUUGGCGGGGUAACGGCCCACCAAACCGACGAUGGAUAGGGGUUCUGAGAGGAAGGUCCCCCACAUUGGUACUGAGACACGGACCAAACUCCUACGGGAGGCAGCAGUGAGGAAUAUUGGUCAAUGGGCGUAAGCCUGAACCAGCCAAGUCGCGUGAGGGAUGAAGGUUCUAUGGAUCGUAAACCUCUUUUAUAAGGGAAUAAAGUGCGGGACGUGUCCCGUUUUGUAUGUACCUUAUGAAUAAGGAUCGGCUAACUCCGUGCCAGCAGCCGCGGUAAUACGGAGGAUCCGAGCGUUAUCCGGAUUUAUUGGGUUUAAAGGGUGCGUAGGCGGCCUUUUAAGUCAGCGGUGAAAGUCUGUGGCUCAACCAUAGAAUUGCCGUUGAAACUGGGAGGCUUGAGUAUGUUUGAGGCAGGCGGAAUGCGUGGUGUAGCGGUGAAAUGCUUAGAUAUCACGCAGAACCCCGAUUGCGAAGGCAGCCUGCCAAGCCAUGACUGACGCUGAUGCACGAAAGCGUGGGGAUCAAACAGGAUUAGAUACCCCGGUAGUCCACGCAGUAAACGAUGAUCACUAGCUGUUUGCGAUACAGUGUAAGCGGCACAGCGAAAGCGUUAAGUGAUCCACCUGGGGAGUACGCCGGCAACGGUGAAACUCAAAGGAAUUGACGGGGGCCCGCACAAGCGGAGGAACAUGUGGUUUAAUUCGAUGAUACGCGAGGAACCUUACCCGGGUUUGAACGCAUUCGGACCGAGGUGGAAACACCUUUUCUAGCAAUAGCCGUUUGCGAGGUGCUGCAUGGUUGUCGUCAGCUCGUGCCGUGAGGUGUCGGCUUAAGUGCCAUAACGAGCGCAACCCUUGCCACUAGUUACAAACAGGUGAUGCUGAGGACUCUGGUGGGACUGCCAGCGUAAGCUGCGAGGAAGGCGGGGAUGACGUCAAAUCAGCACGGCCCUUACAUCCGGGGCGACACACGUGUUACAAUGGCGUGGACAAAGGGAUGCCACCUGGCGACAGGGAGCGAAUCCCCAAACCACGUCUCAGUUCGGAUCGGAGUCUGCAACCCGACUCCGUGAAGCUGGAUUCGCUAGUAAUCGCGCAUCAGCCAUGGCGCGGUGAAUACGUUCCCGGGCCUUGCACA